AUCGUGCGAGUUCAUUGAACUUGGCCGCAUACUGUGCCACUGUCAUCUCCCCUUGUUUUAGUUCUAGGAACUUUACCUCCAUCCUAUUCUUCAUGCUCUUCGGGAAGUAAUUCUCGAAGAACAGAGUCUUAAACCUUUCCCAGGUUAUAAUCCCUUCUCCCGCUCUCUGUUGAUUUGCUUCACACCAGUAGUUUGCUUCACCCCUCAUCAUAUAUGUAGCGAACACGGUUUUCUGGUCUUCACCCACACGAGCAAUGGCAAAGGCUUUCUCCAUUUCCUUGAUCCACGUUUGCGCUACGAUAGGAUCGGUAGUACCUAUGAAUUCCGGAGGUCCUACACUUUUAAAGUCCUUGAAGUUUGCAACCGGAGCU
RNAcentral lists this long non-coding RNA (371 nucleotides) under Panax ginseng (ginseng). Its description in RNAcentral is "long non-coding RNA (PGIN_LNC006384)". The record is from RNAcentral. Lineage: Eukaryota; Viridiplantae; Streptophyta; Magnoliopsida; Apiales; Araliaceae.